RNAcentral lists this ribosomal RNA (510 nucleotides) under uncultured Acaulospora. Its description in RNAcentral is "SSU rRNA". It matches the Rfam family "Eukaryotic small subunit ribosomal RNA", at positions 569 to 1078 of the family's 1831-position model. The record is from RNAcentral. Lineage: Eukaryota; Fungi; Glomeromycota; Glomeromycetes; Diversisporales; Acaulosporaceae.
AGCAGCCGCGGUAAUUCCAGCUCCAAUAGCGUAUAUUAAAGUUGUUGCAGUUAAAAAGCUCGUAGUUGAAUUUCGGGAUUUGUCGGUUGGUCGGGCUUCACUGUCCGCACUGGCCUGAUGGAUUCCUACCUUCUGAAUAACCAGCAUGCUAUUAAGUUAGUGCGUUGGGGAAGCAGAGCUAUUACCUUGAAAAAAUUAGAGUGCUUAAAGCAGGCUUGCGCUUGAAUAGAUUAGCAUGGAAUAAUAAAAUAGGACGGCAUGGUUCUAUUUUGUUGGUUUCUAGGAUCACCGUAAUGAUUAAUAGGGAUAGUUGGGGGCAUUAGUAUUCAAUUGUCAGAGGUGAAAUUCUUGGAUUUAUUGAAGACUAACUUCUGCGAAAGCAUUUGCCAAGGAUGUUUUCAUUAAUCAAGAACGAAAGUUAGGGGAUCGAAGACGAUCAGAUACCGUCGUAGUCUUAACCAUAAACUAUGCCGACUAGGGAUCGGACGAUGUUAAUUUUUUAAUGACUCG